AUCGAUAAAAAAAAUGAAUGAAUGAUAUAAAAACCAUGAACACGUCUGAAUGCAUGGAGUGUACAUAUGGUAAGAAAAGAAAAAUGUGAUAAAAUAACAACAAAAAAUAGGGAAGGUUAAAUGGAGAACUAAUGAUUUUAUAUACACUACACUACAAAAGAUAUGGAAAGGGCAUUUACCCAAAUUAGAUGGAAGACAAUUAAUUAGAGGGAUUGAUAAGAGAUUAAGGAUAGAUAUAACCACCCCUAAGAAAAGGAUUUCCUCUUUUCUUCGUAUUCAUCCUUGCUUUCUCUACAAUUUGUUCAGUUGUGACAAAAUCUGUUAAUGGAGAAUUUCCCUCCCGCUACCUUCCUAAGCUUUUCGGGAAACAGGAGAACCAGCGCCCUCUUCCCUAAGUGCUGCUUGGCUGGAAGACUUGUCCCCACUACGAACAUUGUAUUUUUCAUAUACCUUCUCCCGGUUCUCUGACCACCAAAUCUCUGCUUGGUUCUCUCCGAAUUUCCUCCGGCUGCGAUUACAUUUACCAUUAAAGAGAGAUGUGAAAAUUAACGACUGCAUGAAAUACUAAAGAUCUUAGUAUAAAGGGAGCUGCAAACUUCCAAUCACCAAUAUAUUGGCCUAGUAAAAGAUAUUCAUGCAGAAUAUCACUAAGAUAUAGAAUUAUUAGCAAAGCAAUGACCUAAGAGUAAGAAGAUUAUAGUUAAAGUUCAUACUUUUUUAAAUUCCGCAAUGCAUAGUUAAAGUUCAUACUUCAUACUGUCUUAACCAACAAGUUGUUGGUCUAGUGAUAAGCAAGCUAGACCUUCAUAAGGGUGCGAACAUAAGCCCAAGAUUAUAGUUAAAGUUCACAUUAUUAGCAAAGUGAUUUAUUGGGAGAGACAAUUACAGUGUCCUGGACGGGGGGAGACAUCUGAGUCAAAGACCAACAAAGUUCAAACUAUUUUUAAAUUCUGCAAUAUACAGCCUAGGUUUGGCCGAUUUCUCAAACCUUAAGUUUGGGCUGUUUACAUGAUAUAUACCUUUUCUUAAGGAUUUAACCGUAAUUACUGUUCAUUGUUUUUAUUUUUUUACGCUUCCUGUUGAUUGUCGGUGGCCAAGAAGUAAAGCUAAUUUUGUGGGUUCAUAUGAUUUCACAUUCGUGCAAUCUUAUAGUCAUGAUUUUAUUAUAUCCCUCAUUUGACAGAGUUGCGUUAAAAUAAUGAUAUCUAAUUAGAAGUUACCUAUAUAAAUGUUAGUGCUAAGAAUAACCACAUGAAUUACGAGUGAUUUAAUACUUCAUCCCUUAAAACAAGUAGUUAUGUGUUUGAUUCUCAACUUUAGCCAAUGGAAAAAAACUUUGUCCAAUCUCCUAUUGCUUAGUACAUUAAUAGUUAUCGACCGAGGGAUACACUAACCCGGUUUAGGUACUAAAGCCUGACAACGAGUAAAUUAUGCUUAUGUAAAAAAAAUAGUAAAUUAUGCGAUAGACAUGUAUGCAUGGGAUAUAUAGUAAAUAGUGAUUGUCAUAUGUAUAUUAAACUAAUAUAUAGUUCUUCAUAAUUUCACAGCACAGUUUCAUCCAUCUAGAGUUUCACUUCGAUUAGAUCAAAUGAUCUAUAGUAACAUUGCACCAAAUAGCAGCAUUUAUAGUUUUUAAAUUUGUCUCUUGAAAAAGAUAAGAUACACGUGAUAUUACUAAAUGGGAACCAUUUAUUUUCCUUCAAAAUAAGGCACUGAAAUGAUCAACCAAAUGUUCAACCAAGCACAGUAUUAUCGAUAAAAAAAAUGAAUGAAUGAUAUAAAAACCAUGAACACGUCUGAAUGCAUGGAGUGUACAUAUGGUAAGAAAAGAAAAAUGUGAUAAAAUAACAACAAAAAAUAGGGAAGGUUAAAUGGAGAACUAAUGAUUUUAUAUACACUACACUACAAAAGAUAUGGAAAGGGCAUUUACCCAAAUUAGAUGGAAGACAAUUAAUUAGAGGGAUUGAUAAGAGAUUAAGGAUAGAUAUAACCACCCCUAAGAAAAGGAUUUCCUCUUUUCUUCGUAUUCAUCCUUGCUUUCUCUACAAUUUGUUCAGUUGUGACAAAAUCUGUUAAUGGAGAAUUUCCCUCCCGCUACCUUCCUAAGCUUUUCGGGAAACAGGAGAACCAGCGCCCUCUUCCCUAAGUGCUGCUUGGCUGGAAGACUUGUCCCCACUACGAACAUUGUAUUUUUCAUAUACCUUCUCCCGGUUCUCU
This 2217-nucleotide long non-coding RNA is filed under the name Lotus japonicus. RNAcentral's name for it is "long non-coding RNA (LJAP_LNC000798)". Lineage: Eukaryota; Viridiplantae; Streptophyta; Magnoliopsida; Fabales; Fabaceae. The record is from RNAcentral.